This 21-nucleotide non-coding RNA is filed under the name Arabidopsis thaliana (thale cress). The record is from RNAcentral. Lineage: Eukaryota; Viridiplantae; Streptophyta; Magnoliopsida; Brassicales; Brassicaceae.
CGGCGAAUAGUCGUAAAUGGA